UGUGAAAGAGAACCGUUAUGAACUAACUGAACCCUAGAUUUAUUGAUUUCAAAGGCUGGCGCUGUUUUCUUUCCUUUUGGUGGUGCUGGUUCUCUGUGGUGGUUUAAAGGUCUACAAUACACCUAUCGAAAGCUGAGGUAUUGUCAAAGUAGUUGCUUUGGGACUCAUUUUUUAAUCUAUUUUGGUGGUCAUCGGUGUAGCAAGUUCAUUCUGAGGUAUUUUUUUAAGUUUUAUGUUGAAAUUUGUUUUAUUGUAGAAAUGGGGUUGUUUUUUGUUCAGUGUAGUCUAAUGUUGUGCGUGAUUGGGUCAUUGGAAGUGUAGGUGGGUUUUUGGUUUAGUGUAUUGAAAUAUUUAAUUAAACUGAUUAGAUAUCAUUUUGUAGAGUUUGAAAUUUCUUGAAAUGUUGAAUGAAAUGUUUAACUGCGGAUUUAGGUAUGAAAAAUUUGGAGGAAGAACAACAUGUUGUGAAUGUAUUUGAUGAAACGACCCCCAAUGUAGUGUUAUAAUCUAAAACAAUAGGCAUUGUUUUAUGUGAAUAGUCGAUUAAGUUAAAAUGUAUUUGGUGUUUGUUUUUGUGUUAAGGUUUUGAAUGAAUGAAAUUAUGAAUUUAUGGUCUGAUUAUGUUAGUGGAUAAGAAGAAGAGAGAUGAUGAUGAUGAUGGUCUUUUGUUAGUUAAUAACGGGUUGUCUAAGGAAAGUGGUGAAGUUGUACCAAUCAUUAUUAAUGGUUUGGUUGAUAUUAUUGACAUUAAUAUGAGAAAUAUUAAUGGUGAUGACAUGGAGAGGUUCUUAUUUGGUUAUCUUGAAGCAGCAUACUUGUUUUAUUAUUGGUAUGCACGAAAUAAUGGGUUUUUUUUGUUAGGAGAAACAAAAUUGUGAAAAGUUGUAAGAAUGAAAUAAUCCAGCAAACAUUUGUUUGUUCUAGAGAAGGUCAUCGAGAAGAUAGAGGAUUAACGAUGGAAACAAUGAAGCUUGAACUAAGAAAUGAUAUUAGAUGUGACUACUUUGCUAAGUUUGUUGUGCAUAUUAAGAAAAAUUGUGAGCGAUGGGAAAUAAAGAACUUUAAUGAUAGACAUAGUCAUGAUUUGUUGGAGGAAGAUUAUUAUUCUCUAUUACCUAUUACUUUCACAUCGGAGGAUGGUUGUAGGUGAUAUUUUGCAAAUUGAGAAUCUUAGAAAAGUAGGGAUAAGGGCUCCUCAUAUAUUUGGUUCAUUAGCUAACAUUUUUUGUGGUUAUGACAAGAUAAGAUGGUGUAAGAAAGAUCUUCACAACCAAAUUGCACGACAAAAAGACAAGACGACUCUGAUGCUACUAAUGCAUUAAGAUUUUUUGAUGGCUUGAUAAAGAUAGACCCUAUGAUGUUUGUAAGACACAUAAAGGACAAUGAUGACAUGUUGCAACAUUUAUUUUGGUGUCAUGGUGAAAGCCAAUUAAACUUUGAAAUAUUUGGUGAUAUGAUUGGAUUUGGAUUUGAUGCCACUUAUCGCAAUAAUAAGUACUUGUAUCCUUUUAUCA
RNAcentral lists this long non-coding RNA (1514 nucleotides) under Glycine max (soybean). Its description in RNAcentral is "long non-coding RNA (GMAX_LNC002506)". The record is from RNAcentral. Lineage: Eukaryota; Viridiplantae; Streptophyta; Magnoliopsida; Fabales; Fabaceae.